Molecule: non-coding RNA, 72 nt
Organism: Stegodyphus mimosarum
Lineage: Eukaryota; Metazoa; Arthropoda; Arachnida; Araneae; Eresidae
Source: Rfam
GCCUUCGUGGUGUAGUGGUCAGCACGCUUGGCGCGUAACGAGAGGUCCGUGGUUCGAAUCCCGACGAGAGCA